GCCGGGGUGGCGGAAUCGGCAGACGCAGGCGACUUAAAAUCGCUGGUGGUUUCCACAUGCGGGUUCAAGUCCCGCCCCCGGCACCA
RNAcentral lists this transfer RNA (86 nucleotides) under Myxococcales bacterium. RNAcentral describes it as "tRNA-Leu". It matches the Rfam family "tRNA". Rfam says of the family: Transfer RNA (tRNA) molecules are approximately 80 nucleotides in length. Their secondary structure includes four short double-helical elements and three loops (D, anti-codon, and T loops). Lineage: Bacteria; Pseudomonadati; Myxococcota; Myxococcia; Myxococcales. The record is from RNAcentral.